RNAcentral lists this transfer RNA (55 nucleotides) under Dryobates pubescens (Downy woodpecker). Its description in RNAcentral is "Picoides pubescens (downy woodpecker) tRNA". It matches the Rfam family "tRNA", at positions 10 to 63 of the family's 71-position model. From Rfam's summary of the family: Transfer RNA (tRNA) molecules are approximately 80 nucleotides in length. Their secondary structure includes four short double-helical elements and three loops (D, anti-codon, and T loops). Lineage: Eukaryota; Metazoa; Chordata; Aves; Piciformes; Picidae. The record is from Rfam by way of RNAcentral.
GCUCAGUGGUAGAGUGCAUGCUUCGCAUGUGUGAGGUCCCAGGUUCAAUCCCUGG